ACAGCCAUAAUGGAGAAGAUCCUC
Molecule: non-coding RNA, 24 nt
Filed under: Arabidopsis thaliana (thale cress)
Lineage: Eukaryota; Viridiplantae; Streptophyta; Magnoliopsida; Brassicales; Brassicaceae
Source: RNAcentral